Populus trichocarpa (black cottonwood) is the source of this 102-nucleotide non-coding RNA. The record is from Rfam. Lineage: Eukaryota; Viridiplantae; Streptophyta; Magnoliopsida; Malpighiales; Salicaceae.
AAAUUUGUCUAUGACAAAUCUUCAUGUAGCUAUGACAAAUCUCCAUCUAACUAUUUAAAAUCAUUCAUGAGAACUAUUGUGCAAAUAAUAACUUUUUAAGAU